RNAcentral lists this ribosomal RNA (497 nucleotides) under Salmonella enterica subsp. enterica serovar Enteritidis. RNAcentral's name for it is "partial 23S ribosomal RNA". It matches the Rfam family "Bacterial large subunit ribosomal RNA", at positions 25 to 561 of the family's 2925-position model. Lineage: Bacteria; Pseudomonadati; Pseudomonadota; Gammaproteobacteria; Enterobacterales; Enterobacteriaceae. The record is from RNAcentral.
UGGAUGCCCUGGCAGUCAGAGGCGAUGAAGGGCGUGCUAAUCUGCGAUAAGCGCCGGUAAGGUGAUAUGAACCGUUAUAACCGGCGAUACCCGAAUGGGGAAACCCAGUGUGAUUCGUCACACUAUCAUUAACUGAAUCCAUAGGUUAAUGAGGCGAACCGGGGGAACUGAAACAUCUAAGUACCCCGAGGAAAAGAAAUCAACCGAGAUUCCCCCAGUAGCGGCGAGCGAACGGGGAGGAGCCCAGAGCCUGAAUCAGCAUGUGUGUUAGUGGAAGCGUCUGGAAAGGCGCGCGAUACAGGGUGACAGCCCCGUACACAAAAGCGCAUGUGCUGUGAGCUCGAUGAGUAGGGCGGGACACGUGGUAUCCUGUCUGAAUAUGGGGGGACCAUCCUCCAAGGCUAAAUACUCCUGACUGACCGAUAGUGAACCAGUACCGUGAGGGAAAGGCGAAAAGAACCCCGGCGAGGGGAGUGAAAAAGAACCUGAAACCGUGU